UUGCCAAGUGAACACCCGAGUUUGCUUUGCAGUCCUCUUGGCUUUGAUGCUGUGCUAAAGCAAGGCCUGUUCUUUUUCUCUGCAUCGAAAGGCGCAUUCAUCCUUUUGAAUGCAUUUAAAAGGCCAGUGCCUUA
Molecule: small nucleolar RNA, 134 nt
Organism: Echinops telfairi (small Madagascar hedgehog)
Lineage: Eukaryota; Metazoa; Chordata; Mammalia; Afrosoricida; Tenrecidae
Source: Ensembl